RNAcentral lists this ribosomal RNA (492 nucleotides) under uncultured bacterium. RNAcentral describes it as "partial 16S ribosomal RNA". It matches the Rfam family "Bacterial small subunit ribosomal RNA", at positions 28 to 507 of the family's 1533-position model. The record is from RNAcentral.
GAUGAACGCUAGCUACAGGCUUAACACAUGCAAGUCGAGGGGAAACGGCAUUACGUGCUUGCACUUUUUGGACGUCGACCGGCGCACGGGUGAGUAACGCGUAUCCAACCUUCCCAUGACUAAGGGAUAACCUGCCGAAAGGCAGACUAAUACCUUAUGGUCUUCACUGACGGCAUCAGAUGUGCAGUAAAGAUUUAUCGGUUAUGGAUGGGGAUGCGUCUGAUUAGCUUGUUGGCGGGGUAACGGCCCACCAAGGCAACGAUCAGUAGGGGUUCUGAGAGGAAGGUCCCCCACAUUGGAACUGAGACACGGUCCAAACGCCUACGGGAGGCAGCAGUGAGGAAUAUUGGUCAAGGGGCGAGAGCCUGAACCAGCCAAGUAGCGUGCAGGAUGACGGCCCUAUGGGUUGUAAACUGCUUUUGUAUGGGGAUAAAGUCAAUCACGUGUGAUUGUUUGCAGGUACCAUACGAAUAAGGACCGGCUAAUUCCGUG